AAUAAGAGGUACAUCCUGCCCAGUGAAUUAAAUGAUUACAUACGGCCGCGGUACCCUGACCGUGCGAAGGUAGCAUAAUCGUUCGCCUCUUAAUUGGAGGCUGGUAUGAAUGGACAAACGAGAGACCAGCUGUCUCCCUCUUACCCCUGUAACUUGAACUGCAGGUGAAGAUGCCUGCAUAAUAAUAUAGGACAAAAAGACCCUGUUGAGUUUUAUUUAUAUUAUUACCGCAAUUUAAAUAAUAUAUAAUUAAAAGCACAUAAUACAUAAAUUUGAUUGGGGCAAUCAAGGAUCAAGCCCAACAUCCUUACUUUUAAAAGCAUCUAGCCAAUGACCCAUAAACCGUGAUUAAAGAAAUGAACUACCACAGGGAUAACAGGCUAAUCUUCCUAGAGAGGCCAAAUUGACAGGAAGGCUUGGCACCUCGAUGUUGGCUUAGGAUAUCCAUUAAAUGCAGAAGUUUAAAACGGUGGGUUUGUUCAACCCAUAAAAUCCUACGUGAUCUGAGUUCAGAC
This 515-nucleotide ribosomal RNA is filed under the name Leocrates chinensis. RNAcentral's name for it is "partial 16S ribosomal RNA". It matches the Rfam family "Bacterial large subunit ribosomal RNA", at positions 1844 to 2616 of the family's 2925-position model. Lineage: Eukaryota; Metazoa; Annelida; Polychaeta; Phyllodocida; Hesionidae. The record is from RNAcentral.